AAAGAAAACAAAUUAUAUAGAAAACAGAACAAGGGAGAAAACGCCACACAUUUCUCUAUGCCAAGAGAUUCUGUUUGCGUUCAAACUUGUGCUACAGGUUGUCGUGCUGAGAACUGAAUGAACAUCAUUAUGUUAGAGCGCUACAGAUACCACAAUCAGACCUCCAUGACAACCAUCAGUGGCUUAUUGGAAUCAGCCCUCACAUUUGGUCUUACUGUAGAAUCUGCCAUCAGUGAGCCUGUUGUAAGCUCCCAAGGAUAUCAACAUUUUAUCACCCAGUUAAGCAUAAUGCCCUGGUCAUAAAGUUCAGUGUUUGUACAAUCAACCCCAUAACUCAGAUGAUUUAUUAACUGUGGUGGAUAAAUGAGAAAAGAGUCAUCUUAUGCCUGAAAAUAAAAAGACUAAGUGUACCAGUGCUGCUUUCUUUUGCUUUCCUUG
Molecule: long non-coding RNA, 438 nt
Organism: Melanotaenia boesemani (Boeseman's rainbowfish)
Lineage: Eukaryota; Metazoa; Chordata; Actinopteri; Atheriniformes; Melanotaeniidae
Exons: 3
Source: RefSeq, a predicted model, not a curated record